AGUUUCCGGCCGCGGUAGCCUAACCGUGCGAAGGUAGCAUAAUCACUUGUUUCUUAAAUAGAGACUAGUAUCAACGGCAUCACGAAGACUAUACUGUCUCCCCCCUAAAAUCAAUGAAACUGAUCUCCUCGUGAAGAAGCGAGGAUAUACAUAUAAGACGAGAAGACCCCAUGGAGCUUUAAACGAACUUCAAUUGUUCCCACCCAUAACAUACAAAUUGAACACCCCUGAUAGAUAGUUUUAGGUUGGGGUGACCGCGGAGUAAAACAAAACCUCCACAGUGAAUGUAAUAAAAUUCUUAUAAAAGAACUACAAUUCUAAUAAUCAAAAAUUUGACAUAAAUUGACCCAAACACUUGAUCAAUGAACCAAGUUACCCUGGGGAUAACAGCGCAAUCCAUUUUAAGAGCCCAUAUCGACAAAUGGGUUUACGACCUCGAUGUUG
Molecule: ribosomal RNA, 444 nt
Filed under: Leptopelis ragazzii (Shoa forest treefrog)
Lineage: Eukaryota; Metazoa; Chordata; Amphibia; Anura; Arthroleptidae
Description: partial large subunit ribosomal RNA
Rfam family: Bacterial large subunit ribosomal RNA
Source: RNAcentral